UGGCGAACGGGUGAGUAACACGUGGGUGAUCUGCCCUGCACUUCGGGAUAAGCUUGGGAAACUGGGUCUAAUACCGGAUAGGAACCAUCUUUAGUGUGGUGGUUGGAAAGUUUUUUCGGUGUAGGAUGAGCUCGCGGCCUAUCAGCUUGUUGGUGUGGUAAUGGCCUACCAAGGCGGCGAUGAGUAGCCGGCCUGAGAGGGUGUACGGCCACAUUGGGACUGAGAUACGGCCCAG
This 235-nucleotide ribosomal RNA is filed under the name uncultured Actinomycetales bacterium. RNAcentral describes it as "partial 16S ribosomal RNA". It matches the Rfam family "Bacterial small subunit ribosomal RNA", at positions 96 to 334 of the family's 1533-position model. The record is from RNAcentral. Lineage: Bacteria; Bacillati; Actinomycetota; Actinomycetes; Actinomycetales.